This 253-nucleotide ribosomal RNA is filed under the name uncultured bacterium. RNAcentral describes it as "partial 16S ribosomal RNA". It matches the Rfam family "Bacterial small subunit ribosomal RNA", at positions 524 to 776 of the family's 1533-position model. The record is from RNAcentral.
UACGGGGGGAGCAAGCGUUGUUCGGAUUUACUGGGCGUAAAGGGCGCGUAGGCGGCGCAACAAGUCACUUGUGAAAUCUCCGGGCUUAACCCGGAGCGGCCAAGUGAUACUGUCGUGCUAGAGUGCGGAAGGGGCUACUGGAAUUCUCGGUGUAGCGGUGAAAUGCGUAGAUAUCGAGAGGAACACCUGCGGCGAAGGCGGGUAGCUGGGCUGACACUGACGCUCAUGCACGAAAGCGUGGGGAGCAAACAGG